Molecule: small nuclear RNA, 109 nt
Filed under: Glossina morsitans morsitans
Lineage: Eukaryota; Metazoa; Arthropoda; Insecta; Diptera; Glossinidae
Source: RNAcentral
GUUUUUACUAAGGCAGAAAUAUACACUAAUACUGGAUCGAUGCAGAGAAGAUUAGCCAUGGUCAGCGCGCAAGGAUAACAAGCAAAAUCGUGAAACGUUCUUCACGUUC